RNAcentral lists this ribosomal RNA (379 nucleotides) under uncultured eukaryote. RNAcentral's name for it is "partial 18S ribosomal RNA". It matches the Rfam family "Eukaryotic small subunit ribosomal RNA", at positions 592 to 976 of the family's 1831-position model. The record is from RNAcentral.
CAAUAGCGUAUAUUAAAGUUGUUGCAGUUAAAAAGCUCGUAGUUGGAUUUCUGGUGGGAGCACGGGUCGGCCCUCACGGGUUGUACUGUUGUUGCGUCCCGCCGUUUCGGAGGGAAUGGUCUCGCUAUUAGGUUAGUGGGGUCGGGAACUCUGUCGUUUACUGUGAAAAAAUUAGAGUGUUCAAAGCAGGCCUUCGCUGUGAAUACAUUAGCAUGGAAUAAUAAGAUAGGACUAUGGUGCUAUUUUGUUGGUUUGCGUACUAUGGUAAUGAUUAAUAGGGAUAGUUGGGGGUAUUCAUAUUCAAUUGUCAGAGGUGAAAUUCUUGGAUUUAUGGAAGAUGAACUACUGCGAAAGCAUUUACCAAGGAUGUUUUCAUUAA